Molecule: ribosomal RNA, 313 nt
Filed under: uncultured soil bacterium
Lineage: Bacteria
Description: bacterial SSU rRNA
Rfam family: Bacterial small subunit ribosomal RNA
Source: RNAcentral
AAGUCCCGUAACGAGCGCAACCCUUGUCAUUAGUUGCUACAUUCAGUUGGGCACUCUAAUGAGACUGCCGGUGACAAACCGGAGGAAGGUGGGGAUGACGUCAAGUCCUCAUGGCCCUUAUGGGUAGGGCUUCACACGUAAUACAAUGGCGCGUACAGAGGGUUGCCAAGGAGCGAUCUGGAGCCAAUCCCGAAAAGCGCGUCGUAGUCCGGAUUGCAGUCUGCAACUCGACUGCAUGAAGUCGGAAUCGCUAGUAAUCGCGGAUCAGCAUGUCGCGGUGAAUACGUUCCCGGGUCUCGUACACACCGCCCGU